Molecule: ribosomal RNA, 2905 nt
Filed under: Enterobacter cloacae complex sp. P30U
Lineage: Bacteria; Pseudomonadati; Pseudomonadota; Gammaproteobacteria; Enterobacterales; Enterobacteriaceae
Description: 23S ribosomal RNA
Rfam family: Bacterial large subunit ribosomal RNA
Source: RNAcentral
GGUUAAGCGACUAAGCGUACACGGUGGAUGCCCUGGCAGUCAGAGGCGAUGAAGGACGUGCUAAUCUGCGAAAAGCGCCGGCGAGGUGAUAUGAACCUUUGACCCGGCGAUGUCCGAAUGGGGAAACCCAGUGCAAUUCGUUGCACUAUCGUUAACUGAAUACAUAGGUUAACGAGGCGAACCGGGGGAACUGAAACAUCUAAGUACCCCGAGGAAAAGAAAUCAACCGAGAUUCCCCCAGUAGCGGCGAGCGAACGGGGAGCAGCCCGGAGUCUGAAUCAGCUUGUGUGUUAGUGGAACGGUCUGGAAAGUCCGACGGUACAGGGUGAUAGUCCCGUACACGAAAGCACACAUGCUGUGAACUCGAAGAGUAGGGCGGGACACGUGGUAUCCUGUCUGAAUAUGGGGGGACCAUCCUCCAAGGCUAAAUACUCCUGACUGACCGAUAGUGAACCAGUACCGUGAGGGAAAGGCGAAAAGAACCCCGGCGAGGGGAGUGAAAAAGAACCUGAAACCGUGUACGUACAAGCAGUGGGAGCACCUUCGUGGUGUGACUGCGUACCUUUUGUAUAAUGGGUCAGCGACUUAUAUUCUGUAGCAAGGUUAACCGUAUAGGGGAGCCGAAGGGAAACCGAGUCUUAACUGGGCGUUAAGUUGCAGGGUAUAGACCCGAAACCCGGUGAUCUAGCCAUGGGCAGGUUGAAGGUUGGGUAACACUAACUGGAGGACCGAACCGACUAAUGUUGAAAAAUUAGCGGAUGACCUGUGGCUGGGGGUGAAAGGCCAAUCAAACCGGGAGAUAGCUGGUUCUCCCCGAAAGCUAUUUAGGUAGCGCCUCGUGAACUCAUCUUCGGGGGUAGAGCACUGUUUCGGCUAGGGGGCCAUCCCGGCUUACCAACCCGAUGCAAACUACGAAUACCGAAGAAUGUUAUCACGGGAGACACACGGCGGGUGCUAACGUCCGUCGUGAAGAGGGAAACAACCCAGACCGCCAGCUAAGGUCCCAAAGUCAUGGUUAAGUGGGAAACGAUGUGGGAAGGCACAGACAGCCAGGAUGUUGGCUUAGAAGCAGCCAUCAUUUAAAGAAAGCGUAAUAGCUCACUGGUCGAGUCGGCCUGCGCGGAAGAUGUAACGGGGCUAAACCAUGCACCGAAGCUGCGGCAGCGACACUUAUGUGUUGUUGGGUAGGGGAGCGUUCUGUAAGCCGUUGAAGGUGUGCUGUGAGGCAUGCUGGAGGUAUCAGAAGUGCGAAUGCUGACAUAAGUAACGAUAAAGCGGGUGAAAAGCCCGCUCGCCGGAAGACCAAGGGUUCCUGUCCAACGUUAAUCGGGGCAGGGUGAGUCGACCCCUAAGGCGAGGCCGAAAGGCGUAGUCGAUGGGAAACAGGUUAAUAUUCCUGUACUUGGUGUUACUGCGAAGGGGGGACGGAGAAGGCUAUGUCAGCCGGGCGACGGUUGUCCCGGUUUAAGCAUGUAGGCGGAGGUUCCAGGUAAAUCCGGUACCUUUUAACGCUGAGGUGUGAUGACGAGGCACUACGGUGCUGAAGUGAUAAAUGCCCUGCUUCCAGGAAAAGCCUCUAAGCAUCAGGUAACACGAAAUCGUACCCCAAACCGACACAGGUGGUCAGGUAGAGAAUACCAAGGCGCUUGAGAGAACUCGGGUGAAGGAACUAGGCAAAAUGGUGCCGUAACUUCGGGAGAAGGCACGCUGAUAUGUAGGUGAAGCCCCUGCGGGUGGAGCUGAAAUCAGUCGAAGAUACCAGCUGGCUGCAACUGUUUAUUAAAAACACAGCACUGUGCAAACACGAAAGUGGACGUAUACGGUGUGACGCCUGCCCGGUGCCGGAAGGUUAAUUGAUGGGGUUAGCGGCAACGCGAAGCUCUUGAUCGAAGCCCCGGUAAACGGCGGCCGUAACUAUAACGGUCCUAAGGUAGCGAAAUUCCUUGUCGGGUAAGUUCCGACCUGCACGAAUGGCGUAAUGAUGGCCAGGCUGUCUCCACCCGAGACUCAGUGAAAUUGAACUCGCUGUGAAGAUGCAGUGUACCCGCGGCAAGACGGAAAGACCCCGUGAACCUUUACUAUAGCUUGACACUGAACACUGGUCCUUGAUGUGUAGGAUAGGUGGGAGGCUUUGAAGCGUGGACGCCAGUCUGCGUGGAGCCAACCUUGAAAUACCACCCUUUAAUGGCUGGUGUUCUAACGUAGACCCGUAAUCCGGGUUGCGGACAGUGUCUGGUGGGUAGUUUGACUGGGGCGGUCUCCUCCCAAAGAGUAACGGAGGAGCACGAAGGUUGGCUAAUCCUGGUCGGACAUCAGGAGGUUAGUGCAAUGGCAUAAGCCAGCUUGACUGCGAGCGUGACGGCGCGAGCAGGUGCGAAAGCAGGUCAUAGUGAUCCGGUGGUUCUGAAUGGAAGGGCCAUCGCUCAACGGAUAAAAGGUACUCCGGGGAUAACAGGCUGAUACCGCCCAAGAGUUCAUAUCGACGGCGGUGUUUGGCACCUCGAUGUCGGCUCAUCACAUCCUGGGGCUGAAGUAGGUCCCAAGGGUAUGGCUGUUCGCCAUUUAAAGUGGUACGCGAGCUGGGUUUAGAACGUCGUGAGACAGUUCGGUCCCUAUCUGCCGUGGGCGCUGGAGAAUUGAGGGGGGCUGCUCCUAGUACGAGAGGACCGGAGUGGACGCAUCACUGGUGUUCGGGUUGUCAUGCCAAUGGCACUGCCCGGUAGCUAAAUGCGGAAGAGAUAAGUGCUGAAAGCAUCUAAGCACGAAACUUGCCCCGAGAUGAGUUCUCCCUGAGACUUUAAGUCUCCUGAAGGAACGUUGAAGACGACGACGUUGAUAGGUCGGGUGUGUAAGCGCAGCGAUGCGUUGAGCUAACCGAUACUAAUGAACCGUGAGGCUUAACCUU